This 74-nucleotide transfer RNA is filed under the name Melioribacter roseus P3M-2. RNAcentral's name for it is "tRNA-Arg (TCG) (tRNA-Arg-TCG-1-1)". It matches the Rfam family "tRNA". From Rfam's summary of the family: Transfer RNA (tRNA) molecules are approximately 80 nucleotides in length. Lineage: Bacteria; Pseudomonadati; Ignavibacteriota; Ignavibacteria; Ignavibacteriales; Melioribacteraceae. The record is from Rfam by way of RNAcentral. RNAcentral also lists the same sequence under 1 other name.
GCGCCCGUAGCUCAAUCGGAUAGAGCACGUGACUUCGGAUCACGGGGUUGAGGGUUCGAGUCCUUCCGGGCGUA